AACGAACGCUGGCGGCAUGCCUAACACAUGCAAGUCGAACGAGAUCUUCGGGUCUAGUGGCGCACGGGUGCGUAACGCGUGGGAAUCUGCCCUUUGGUUCGGAAUAACAGUUGGAAACGACUGCUAAUACCGGAUGAUGACGAAAGUCCAAAGAUUUAUCGCCAGAGGAUGAGCCCGCGUAGGAUUAGCUAGUUGGUGUGGUAGAGGCGCACCAAGGCGACGAUCCUUAGCUGGUCUGAGAGGAUGAUCAGCCACAUUGGGACUGAGACACGGCCCAGACUCCUACGGGAGGCAGCAGUGGGGAAUAUUGGACAAUGGGCGAAAGCCUGAUCCAGCAAUGCCGCGUGAGUGAUGAAGGCCUUAGGGUUGUAAAGCUCUUUUACCCGGGAUGAUAAUGACAGUACCGGGAGAAUAAGCUCCGGCUAACUCCGUGCCAGCCGCCGCAGUAA
Molecule: ribosomal RNA, 449 nt
Filed under: uncultured bacterium
Lineage: Bacteria
Description: partial 16S ribosomal RNA
Rfam family: Bacterial small subunit ribosomal RNA
Source: RNAcentral